This 637-nucleotide ribosomal RNA is filed under the name Fusobacterium sp. HGA0206. RNAcentral describes it as "bacterial SSU rRNA". It matches the Rfam family "Bacterial small subunit ribosomal RNA", at positions 122 to 773 of the family's 1533-position model. Lineage: Bacteria; Fusobacteriati; Fusobacteriota; Fusobacteriia; Fusobacteriales; Fusobacteriaceae. RNAcentral also lists the same sequence under 1 other name. The record is from RNAcentral.
GAACUUGCCUCACAGCUAGGGACAACAUUUAGAAAUGAAUGCUAAUACCUGAUAUUAUGAUUUUAAGGCAUCUUAGAAUUAUGAAAGCUAUAUGCACUGUGAGAGAGCUUUGCGUCCCAUUAGCUAGUUGGAGAGGUAACAGCUCACCAAGGCGAUGAUGGGUAGCCGGCCUGAGAGGGUGAACGGCCACAAGGGGACUGAGACACGGCCCUUACUCCUACGGGAGGCAGCAGUGGGGAAUAUUGGACAAUGGACCGAGAGUCUGAUCCAGCAAUUCUGUGUGCACGAUGAAGUUUUUCGGAAUGUAAAGUGCUUUCAGUUGGGAAGAAAUAAAUGACGGUACCAACAGAAGAAGUGACGGCUAAAUACGUGCCAGCAGCCGCGGUAAUACGUAUGUCACGAGCGUUAUCCGGAUUUAUUGGGCGUAAAGCGCGUCUAGGUGGUUAUGUAAGUCUGAUGUGAAAAUGCAGGGCUCAACUCUGUAUUGCGUUGGAAACUGUAUAACUAGAGUACUGGAGAGGUAAGCGGAACUACAAGUGUAGAGGUGAAAUUCGUAGAUAUUUGUAGGAAUGCCGAUGGGGAAGCCAGCUUACUGGACAGAUACUGACGCUAAAGCGCGAAAGCGUGGGUAGCAAAC